UGUGCGUUCGUGUGUGUGUGUGUGUGCGUCAGCGGGUGUGUGUAACAAUAACAGCUUCGAUUGAAAGCAAACAACGAAAUUCUAAAGCAAUCAUCUGAUUUUUUUGACAUAUCCAAUUGAUUAUUAAAUACUCCGCCGCUGCCCCCAUAAAGACCAAAAUUUAAAACGCUUCAUUAAUUCAAAACGAUUCGCUGACAUCUUGAACCCAAAGAUCCAGCUUCGAUUGCAACAGUCCAGUCAACGGCGUCCACUCGUCUGCGUCGUCGUCUGCUGCAUCUAACUUAUAAUUCGAAUGCCCCAAGAUGCUAGUCCCAAGAAAACUGAAUCCUCCGAUAAGCAAGAUGCUAUUAAACUAUUAAGAUUUUGAGCGGAAAACCAAAAAAAAGAAGUCUACUGACUGACCUCUCAUGUUUGCACACAUUCUGAUCCUGGUGCAAUCCAACAGAAACUGCGAGGCACUGCAACCGAUUGAAAAGCCGCCAGAUUUCCACAGCGAUCCUCUGGAGCGGCUGUCUCAGCUUUUCCGGCUGGACUGCUCGCACCGUUCCGCGUUCCCGGCGACGGCGACGCAGACAACGAUGCUAGAGUGGCCAACGAACUGCCUCACAGGACUCACCAGGAUCCUUGGGAUCAGCCAGGCCAUUGCCGUGGACACGAGAGAAAAUCUAAACACCGCUAUGGAUAAAUAACAUCAGUAAAUUGUCCUGUUACACCAUAUCGAGAAGUUAUCCAAUGAGAAAGCCGCUUAAAUUUUGGAGGAUCUAUGAUGGACGACAGAGAAAAAUAACGCUUUGUUUGUGAAAGAUUUUUUGAGCGCAAGCAAGGAUUAUUAAAACGAAAACCAAGCCAAACCAACUAAAUACCCAAAACGACAAAAAUCGACAAAAAACGACGAAAAACGAACAAAAAUCCUAAAAUCCAUUCGCAAGUUUUUCGGGCAAAGCAUCGAAAACACACUUUUGAGAUUCGAAAAAUCAAAGCGAAACGAACAAAAACAAACUGGAAAGGAGCAGAAAAGACCUGGAGGACGAGAACGGGUGUAAAACGAAGGGAAAUACAAAUCAAAUUUAAAUAAAAUUAAAUGCAAAGGACAUUCGCAUGUGUGUGGUGGUGGAAAGAAAAUUCAAAACAAAAUUCACAAUUAGAAAACGCAGGAAAAAACGUAGAAAACGCAGACACAAAAUCAAGAGUGCCAGCAGCAACAGCAGCAACCAACUGUCAACAGCGGGAAGAAUUUUGAACUGGAACAUUUCGACCAAAAAGUUUGUUGGGCGACAGCAAAAUUUCAACGUUUGGCGCACUACAACACAGCAGCAAACAGCAGCAAGGACAUCGCGGCCAGGCAGCCAGGAUUGCAGGAGCGAGCGGUUUUGAAAGCGCAACACACAUCGACAAACCCUUCUCACACGGACUAGUACUCACACUCGGAUCGGAACCAGGAUACCUUUUGGCUUAGAAAGCGGCCCAAGGAAAAGCCGCAGCCAGAACCUUAAGCUCAAAAUCACGCAUACGCCGCGGCGAACUCGCGCUCUCUCUUUGCCGGAACGAAGGGGAAGCAAAGCCAGAGCAAAAACCGACCAGCCAAUCCGAGGAAGCGGAGAGGGUGCCAGAGGGUUGCUGAGGGGAAAGCAGGCAGCGAAGGCAGCAAAGGCAGCGAAAGCAGGGAAUUCAUCGAGAGCUGAGAAGCGCGAGGCGAGAGAGCUGCUGCUGCUGGUGGGC
Molecule: small RNA, 1719 nt
Filed under: Drosophila yakuba
Lineage: Eukaryota; Metazoa; Arthropoda; Insecta; Diptera; Drosophilidae
Description: GE29252
Source: RNAcentral